RNAcentral lists this ribosomal RNA (1370 nucleotides) under uncultured organism. Its description in RNAcentral is "bacterial SSU rRNA". It matches the Rfam family "Bacterial small subunit ribosomal RNA", at positions 51 to 1423 of the family's 1533-position model. The record is from RNAcentral.
ACACAUGCAAGUCGAACGGACAGAUUUAGAGCUUGCUUUAAAUCUGUUAGUGGCGGACGGGUGAGUAACGCGUGGGUAACCUGCCUUAAACAGAGGGAUAGCAAGUGGAAACGCUUGGUAAUACCACAUAAAGCCUAAGCAUUGCAUAAUGAAUAGGUGAAAGGAGGAAUCCGGUUUAAGAUGGGCCCGCGUCCAAUUAGCUAGUUGGUGAGGUAAGAGCGCACCAAGGCGACGAUUGGUAGCCGAACUGAGAGGUUGAGCGGCCACAUUGGGACUGAGAUACGGCCCAGACUCCUACGGGAGGCAGCAGUGGGGAAUAUUGCGCAAUGGGGGGAACCCUGACGCAGCGACGCCGCGUGAAGGAAGAAGGUCUUCGGAUUGUAAACUUCUUUGAUUAGGGAAGAGGAAGGACGGUACCUAAAGAACAAGCCACGGCUAACUACGUGCCAGCAGCCGCGGCAAUACGAAGGGCCCGAGCGUUAAUCAGAAUCACUGGGCUUAAAGCGUGCGCAGGCGGAAACGUCAGUGUCUUGUGAAAUCCCACGGCUCAACCGUGGAAUUGCAGGGCAUACUGCGUUUCUUGAGGUCGGUAGAGGUCGCCGGAACUCUAGGUGUAGCGGUGAAAUGCGUAGAUAUCUAGAGGAACGCCGAAGGUGAAGACAGGCGACUGGGCCGAUUCUGACGCUCAGGCACGAAAGCGUGGGGAGCAAACAGGAUUAGAUACCCUGGUAGUCCACGCCGUAAACGUUGUGCACUAGAUCCUGGAGGUACUGACACCGUCGGGGUCGAAGAUAACUUGCUAAGUGCACCGCCUGGGGAGUACGGUCGCAAGGCUAAAACUCAAAGGAAUUGACGGGGGCUCACACAAGCGGUGGAGCAUGUGGCUUAAUUCGAGGCAACGCGAAGAACCUUACCUGGGUUUGACAUGCUUGGAUUAGCCUGUCGAAAGACAGGUGACGCUAAUUCUAGUGGAACUUGCACAGGUGCUGCAUGGCUGUCGUCAGCUCGUGCUGUGAAGUGUCGGGUUAAGUCCCUUAACGAGCGAAGCCCCUGCCGCUAGUUGCCAUCAGGUCAAGCUGAGCACUCUAGCGGGACUGCCGGUGUCAAACCGGAGGAAGGUGGGGAUGACGUCAAGUCCUCAUGGCCUUUAUGCCCAGGGAUGCACACGUGCUACAAUGGUAGGUACAACGCGACGCGAUGCCGCGAGGCGGAGCAAAUCGCAAAAAACCUGCCCCAGUUCGGAUCGCAGUCUGCAACUCGACUGCGUGAAGUUGGAAUCGCUAGUAAUCGCGUAUCAGCUAUGACGCGGUGAAUACGUUCCUGAGCCUUGUACACACCGCCCGUCAAGUCAUGGAAGCCGGGAGCACCCG